RNAcentral lists this ribosomal RNA (497 nucleotides) under uncultured bacterium. RNAcentral's name for it is "partial 16S ribosomal RNA". It matches the Rfam family "Bacterial small subunit ribosomal RNA", at positions 28 to 507 of the family's 1533-position model. The record is from RNAcentral.
GAUGAACGCUGGCGGCGUGCCUAAUACAUGCAAGUCGAGCGAACAGACGAGGAGCUUGCUCCUUUGCCGUUAGCGGCGGACGGGUGAGUAACACGCAGGUAACCUACCUAUAAGACUGGGAUAACUUCGGGAAACCGGAGCUAAUACCGGAUAAUAUUUCGAACCGCAUGGUUCGAUAGUGAAAGAUGGCUUUGCUAUCACUUAUAGAUGGACCUGCGCCGUAUUAGCUAGUUGGUACGGUAACGGCUUACCAAGGCAACGAUACGUAGCCGACCUGAGAGGGUGAUCGGCCACACUGGAACUGAGACACGGUCCAGACUCCUACGGGAGGCAGCAGUAGGGAAUCUUCCGCAAUGGGCGAAAGCCUGACGGAGCAACGCCGCGUGAGUGAUGAAGGUCUUCGGAUCGUAAAACUCUGUUAUUAGGGAAGAACAAACGUGUAAGUAACUGUGCACGUCUUGACGGUACCUAAUCAGAAAGCCACGGCUAACUACGUG